GAUGAACGCUGGCGGCGUGCCUAAUACAUGCAAGUCGAGCGAACAGAUAAGGAGCUUGCUCCUUUGACGUUAGCGGCGGACGGGUGAGUAACACGUGGGUAACCUACCUAUAAGACUGGAAUAACUCCGGGAAACCGGGGCUAAUGCCGGAUAACAUUUAGAACCGCAUGGUUCUAAAGUGAAAGAUGGUUUUGCUAUCACUUAUAGAUGGACCCGCGCCGUAUUAGCUAGUUGGUAAGGUAACGGCUUACCAAAGCAACGAUACGUAGCCGACCUGAGAGGGUGAUCGGCCACACUGGAACUGAGACACGGUCCAGACUCCUACGGGAGGCAGCAGUAGGGAAUCUUCCGCAAUGGGCGAAAGCCUGACGGAGCAACGCCGCGUGAGUGAUGAAGGUCUUCGGAUCGUAAAACUCUGUUAUUAGGGAAGAACAAAUGUGUAAGUAACUGUGCACGUCUUGACGGUACCUAAUCAGAAAGCCACGGCUAACUACGUG
Molecule: ribosomal RNA, 497 nt
Filed under: uncultured bacterium
Lineage: Bacteria
Description: partial 16S ribosomal RNA
Rfam family: Bacterial small subunit ribosomal RNA
Source: RNAcentral